Non-coding RNA from Pelobates cultripes (western spadefoot toad), 765 nucleotides. Lineage: Eukaryota; Metazoa; Chordata; Amphibia; Anura; Pelobatidae. The record is from the annotation of a GenBank genome assembly.
UCUCCCUGGAGAGAAGGAGACCUGUUUUUCCAAAACGAAGCAUGGUAAUGUUUAACAGAAUCAAUGUUUUUUAUGUUUGUGCACUCCUAUGUAUUUAUACAUUCUACAAAAGUUUUUCUAUUGCCAGGCAUCCUCUCCCCUCUGUUCAAGAUAGGGAAUGUUUUUUUUUUUCAAUUGGUGGCAGUGUUUUACCUUCAGAUAUAUGCUGAUUACUGAUGCACAGCUUAGUAGAUCAUACUGGUUGCAGGAGCACAAAUUUGGCUAUUAAUUGAUCUCAUAAGUAGGUAACGCUGAAGCCAUUACCUGAUUUAAAAGCUGUUAAUAUUGUUUUUUCUUUCACUUGAUCAUAACAUUUUAUUCUUUAAAUCUGAAUAAAUUUCCUUAAAGCAGGGGGGCGGGGCCUGGCUGCAGAGCUGUGAGGAAGCUCACCACAGCAGCUCCUGCUAAACUCGGCACUUAAUGCUAAAUUUCACCGUUACACAGGCAUUUAAUUGUGAAUUUAAAGCUACCACUCGAGAGUAGACAUCGAGGGGAAGAAAACGAUACCUCUCCAGCGACGAACCGAGCACAACUCACAAUGAGGCCUACAAGCAUGGCGGGCGCAGGGGAGACGGCCGCUCCCCAGCUGCAAUGCCAUGCCCAAAAUCUGGCUGCAAGCCCUCGUUCCCCCCCCUCUGGACCGGUGGGGGUUAUCCCGGUCUACCCCCAACUGACUCCCUGGCAAAGCAAUGGGCCAGAAUCGGCUCCGUGGAGCCCAAAACUAAC